Neofelis nebulosa (Clouded leopard) is the source of this 471-nucleotide long non-coding RNA. RefSeq lists it as uncharacterized. The transcript has 2 exons. The record is from RefSeq and is a predicted model, not a curated record. Lineage: Eukaryota; Metazoa; Chordata; Mammalia; Carnivora; Felidae.
CAGGAGCUGCGGCGGCGGCUGCUCUUUUUUGCAGCCGAAGUCCGGCCUCAGGAUGUUGUCGAUGAAAAAGUUGGUGGUGCGGUGCAGCUGGGCCGCGGGCUGCGGCUGAAUCAACAAAACAAGAAAACUGUGUUGACUUUGCAGUGUGAACACAUCGGGGAUCCGAGUCAUGGGGCCAGUGAGAACACAACAGCUGUUCAUGUGGAAGGCCACCAGAAGACCCAGGCCCCAGAUUUCGCCCAGUGUCAAAGAAAGGACGAAAGAAGAACCGAGGCUGGAGAGAACGCUGUAGCCACGGACACUCUGAGCACCCCCCUCCUCCCGGGAGUGGACUGACUCCUAACCAGAGGGUUCCUGAUGGACGGUGUCCAGAGAGCAGAAAAGGCAAGCGUCCAGACAAUGUAGGAUAGCUCAAACCUCAAACGACUUCCCCUUGAAUUCUCCAUGAAAUUAAUAAAGCGCGGAAACCGG